CGGCGGGGUAACGGCCCACCGAGGCGACGAUGCGUAGGGGUUCUGAGAGGAAGGCCCCCCACACUGGUACUGAGACACGGACCAGACUCCUACGGGAGGCAGCAGUGAGGAAUAUUGGUCAAUGGGCGCGAGCCUGAACCAGCCAAGUCGCGUGAGGGAGGACGGCCCUACGGGUUGUAAACCUCUUUUGCCGGGGAGCAACGGGCGUCACGUGUGGCGCCACUGAGAGUACCCGGAGAAAAAGCAUCGGCUAACUCCGUGCCAGCAGCCGCGGUAAUACGGAGGAUGCGAGCGUUAUCCGGAUUUAUUGGGUUUAAAGGGUGCGUAGGCGGAUCGUUAAGUCAGUGGUCAAAUUGAGGGGCUCAACCCCUUCCCGCCAUUGAAACUGGCGAUCUUGAGUGGAAGAGAAGUAUGCGGAAUGCGUGGUGUAGCGGUGAAAUGCAUAGAUAUCACGCAGAACCCCGAUUGCGAAGGCAGCAUGCCGGCUUCCGACUGACGCUGAAGCACGAAAGCGUGGGGAUCGAACAGGAUUAGAUACCCUGGUAGUCCACGCGGUAAACGAUGAGCGCUAGGUGUCCGGGGGGAAUGGCCCCUGG
This 596-nucleotide ribosomal RNA is filed under the name uncultured bacterium. RNAcentral's name for it is "bacterial SSU rRNA". It matches the Rfam family "Bacterial small subunit ribosomal RNA", at positions 250 to 842 of the family's 1533-position model. The record is from RNAcentral.